AUGACGGCUGAACCUUGUCUUCCUCAAUGCUUUGAUGAACUUGCGGUUCCGGUGGCCAUACUACAGACGAGAUGGAAACAGCAGAAGGGCAAGAUGUGCAAACAGGUGCGAGUGCGCUGGUCCAACUCCGACGCUCUAGGAUCAACAUGGGAGGACAAGGCAAGUCUACAGGCAAGGUUUCCCUUUGCGGAGGCUUGGGGACAAGCCUCGUCUCAAGAAGCGGGGGAUGUCAGCGCCCCUGACAGGUGCGCCCCACAAGACAGCGACACCAACCAGCCACAAGCCGCCCCACGCGCGGCUCGAACCCGGAAGCCCAGCUGCAGGACCUGCGGCCCAGAAUGGUCCAAGUGA
This 351-nucleotide ribosomal RNA is filed under the name Triticum aestivum (bread wheat). RNAcentral describes it as "partial small subunit ribosomal RNA". Lineage: Eukaryota; Viridiplantae; Streptophyta; Magnoliopsida; Poales; Poaceae. The record is from RNAcentral.